UCCGUAGGUGAACCUGCGGAAGGAUCAUUACCGAGUUCUCGGGCUUCGGCUCGAAUCUCCCACCCUUUGUGAACAUACCUCUGUUGCUUUGGCGGCUCUUUGCCGCGAGGAGGCCCUCGCGGGCCCCCCCGCGCGCUUUCCGCCAGAGGACCUUCAAACUCCAGUCAGUAAACGUCGACGUCUGAUAAACAAGUUAAUAAACUAAAACUUUCAACAACGGAUCUCUUGGUUCUGGCAUCGAUGAAGAACGCAGCGAAAUGCGAUAAGUAAUGUGAAUUGCAGAAUUCAGUGAAUCAUCGAAUCUUUGAACGCACAUUGCGCCCCUUGGCAUUCCGAGGGGCAUGCCUGUUCGAGCGUCAUUACAACCCUCAAGCUCUGCUUGGUAUUGGGCGCCGUCCUCUCUGCGGACGCGCCUUAAAGACCUCGGCGGUGGCUGUUCAGCCCUCAAGCGUAGUAGAAUACACCUUGCUUUGGAGCGGUUGGCGUCGCCCGCCGGACGAACCUUCUGAACUUUUCUCAAGGUUGACCUCGGAUCAGGUAGGGAUACCCGCUGAACUUAAGCAUAUCAAUAAGCGGAGGA
This 580-nucleotide ribosomal RNA is filed under the name Botryosphaeria sp. GU071006. Its description in RNAcentral is "eukaryotic LSU rRNA". The stretch from base 206 to 359 matches the Rfam family "5.8S ribosomal RNA". Lineage: Eukaryota; Fungi; Ascomycota; Dothideomycetes; Botryosphaeriales; Botryosphaeriaceae. The record is from RNAcentral.